AGCGAACGUUAGCGGCGCGCCUAACACAUGCAAGUCGCACGAGAAAGGGCUUCGGCCCCGGUAAAGUGGCGCACGGGUGAGUAACACGUGGGCAACCUGCCCAACCCUGGGGGAUAACCUGCCGAAAGGCGGGCUAAUACCGCGUACGAGGGCUCCACUUCGGUGGGGUUCUGAAAGCAGGCCUCUGUAUACAAGCUUGCGGGGUUGGAUGGGCCCGCGGUCCAUCAGCUAGUUGGUGAGGUAAUGGCUCACCAAGGCUACGACGGAUAGCUGGUCUGAGAGGAUGAUCAGCCACACUGGAACUGAGACACGGUCCAGACUCCUACGGGAGGCAGCAGUGGGGAAUCUUGCGCAAUGGACGAAAGUCUGACGCAGCGACGCCGCGUGGGUGACGAAGGCCUUCGGGUUGUAAAGCCCUGUGGGGCGAGACGAACAGCUUCUGGUCGAACAGGCCAGGGGUUUGACGGUAUCGCCUUAGCAAGCACCGGCUAACUCUGUGCCAGCCGCCGCUGUAAAAC
RNAcentral lists this ribosomal RNA (518 nucleotides) under uncultured bacterium. RNAcentral describes it as "bacterial SSU rRNA". It matches the Rfam family "Bacterial small subunit ribosomal RNA", at positions 28 to 526 of the family's 1533-position model. The record is from RNAcentral.